Molecule: ribosomal RNA, 440 nt
Filed under: uncultured bacterium
Lineage: Bacteria
Description: partial 16S ribosomal RNA
Rfam family: Bacterial small subunit ribosomal RNA
Source: RNAcentral
CCUACGGGUGGCAGCAGUAGGGAAUAUUGCACAAUGGGGGAAACCCUGAUGCAGCAACGCCGCGUGAGUGAUGAAGUUUUUCGGUUUGUAAAGCCCUAUUAUUAGGGAAGAUAAUGACGGUACCUAACGAAUAAGCACCGGCUAACUACGUGCCAGCAGCCGCGGUAAUACGUAGGGUGCAAGCGUUAUUCGGAAUCACUGGGCGUAAAGAGCGCGUAGGCGGGUUAGCAAGUCAGAUGUGAAAUCCUAUGGCUUAACCACAGAACUGCAUUUGAAACUGUUAUUCUAGAGUGUGGGAGAGGUAGGUGGAAUUCUUGGUGUAGGGGUAAAAUCCGUAGAGAUUAAGAGGAAUACUCAUUGCGAAGGCGACCUGCUAGAACAUAACUGACGCUGAGGCGCGAAAGCGUGGGGAGCAAACAGGAUUAGAUACCCGAGUAGUC